AUUGAACGCUGGCGGCAGGCCUAACACAUGCAAGUCGAGCGGCAGCGCGGGGCAACCUGGCGGCGAGCGGCGAACGGGUGAGUAAUACAUGGGAAUCUGCCUGGUAGUGGGGGGAUAACUCUGGGAAACUAGAGGUAAUACCGCAUACGUCCUACGGGAGAAAGCGGGGGAUCUUCGGACCUCGCGCUAUCAGAGGAGCCCAUGUCCGAUUAGCUAGUUGGUGAGGUAAAGGCUCACCAAGGCGACGAUCGGUAACUGGUCUGAGAGGAUGGUCAGUCACACUGGGACUGAGACACGGCCCAGACUCCUACGGGAGGCAGCAGUGGGGAAUAUUGGACAAUGGGCGAAAGCCUGAUCCAGCAAUGCCGCGUGGGUGAAGACGGCCUGCGGGUUGUAAAGCCCUUUAGGUGGGGAGGAAAGGCGGGACGUGAACAGCGUUUCGCACUGACGUUACCCACGGAAUAAGCACCGGCUAACUCCGUGCCAGCAGCCGCGGUAA
Molecule: ribosomal RNA, 499 nt
Filed under: uncultured bacterium
Lineage: Bacteria
Description: bacterial SSU rRNA
Rfam family: Bacterial small subunit ribosomal RNA
Source: RNAcentral